RNAcentral lists this ribosomal RNA (622 nucleotides) under Eulimnogammarus verrucosus. Its description in RNAcentral is "SSU rRNA". It matches the Rfam family "Eukaryotic small subunit ribosomal RNA", at positions 14 to 552 of the family's 1831-position model. The record is from RNAcentral. Lineage: Eukaryota; Metazoa; Arthropoda; Malacostraca; Amphipoda; Eulimnogammaridae.
CUGCCAGUAGUCAUAUGCUUGUCUCAAAGAUUAAGCCAUGCAUGUCUAAGUCCAAGCUGUGUUCACACGGCGAGACCGCGGACGGCUCAUUAAAUCAGUCGUGGUCCAAAUGGGCCAGUGCAAAUCCUACUUGGAUAACUGUGGUAAUUCCAGAGCUAAUACAUGCAACUGAUAUCCCGAAGGCGGUGUUUGGGCUUGCUUGCCUUGCGCUGCGCUGCUCUGACGGAUGCUUUUAUUAGACCAAGCCGCUGAGGACUUGAGGGUUCGCGCUCUCUUGUCUGACUCGUGUGAUGGUGACUCUGGAUAACCAAAUUCUGACAAGCGCACGUACUUCUCUUCUGAGCGAGACGGCGCUGCCACUUUCGAGUGUCUGCCUUAUCAGCUAUCAACCGUUCGUUAUGCGCGACCGAUGGCUUUGACGGGUAACGGGGAAUCAGGGUUCGAUUCCGGAGAGGCAGCCUGAGAGACGGCUACCACGUCCAAGGACGGCAGCAGGCACGCAAAUUACCCAAUCCCAGCAAAUGGGGGAGGUAGUGACGAAAUCUAACGAUGCGGGCGCCCUUUCUGGGGCCCCGCAAUCGGAAUGGGCACUUUCUAAACAACCUGUUGAGAACCUACUGAA